RNAcentral lists this ribosomal RNA (237 nucleotides) under uncultured Staphylococcus sp. Its description in RNAcentral is "partial 16S ribosomal RNA". It matches the Rfam family "Bacterial small subunit ribosomal RNA", at positions 102 to 334 of the family's 1533-position model. Lineage: Bacteria; Bacillati; Bacillota; Bacilli; Caryophanales; Staphylococcaceae. The record is from RNAcentral.
ACGGGUGAGUAACACGUGGAUAACCUACCUAUAAGACUGGGAUAACUUCGGGAAACCGGAGCUAAUACCGGAUAAUAUUUUGAACCGCAUGGUUCAAAGUGAAAGACGGUCUUGCUGUCACUUAUAGAUGGAUCCGCGCUGCAUUAGCUAGUUGGUAAGGUAACGGCUUACCAAGGCGACGAUGCGUAGCCGACCUGAGAGGGUGAUCGGCCACACUGGAACUGAGACACGGUCCAG